UAUGAGAGUUUGAUCCUGGCUCAGGACGAACGCUGGCGGCGUGCCUAAUACAUGCAAGUCGAACGCUUCUUUUUCCACCGGAGCUUGCUCCACCGGAAAAAGAGGAGUGGCGAACGGGUGAGUAACACGUGGGUAACCUGCCCAUCAGAAGGGGAUAACACUUGGAAACAGGUGCUAAUACCGUAUAACAAUCAAAACCGCAUGGUUUUGAUUUGAAAGGCGCUUUCGGGUGUCGCUGAUGGAUGGACCCGCGGUGCAUUAGCUAGUUGGUGAGGUAACGGCUCACCAAGGCCACGAUGCAUAGCCGACCUGAGAGGGUGAUCGGCCACAUUGGGACUGAGACACGGCCCAAACUCCUACGGGAGGCAGCAGUAGGGAAUCUUCGGCAAUGGACGAAAGUCUGACCGAGCAACGCCGCGUGAGUGAAGAAGGUUUUCGGAUCGUAAAACUCUGUUGUUAGAGAAGAACAAGGAUGAGAGUAACUGUUCAUCCCUUGACGGUAUCUAACCAGAAAGCCACGGCUAACUACGUGCCAGCAGCCGCGGUAAUACGUAGGUGGCAAGCGUUGUCCGGAUUUAUUGGGCGUAAAGCGAGCGCAGGCGGUUUCUUGUUUUUAAAAAGCCAGUAGAAUAGAAAGGAUAAAAUAAUAAAUGAAACUGGGAGACUUGAGUGCAGAAGAGGAGAGUGGAAUUCCAUGUGUAGCGGUGAAAUGCGUAGAUAUAUGGAGGAACACCAGUGGCGAAGGCGGCUCUCUGGUCUGUAACUGACGCUGAGGCUCGAAAGCGUGGGGAGCAAACAGGAUUAGAUACCCUGGUAGUCCACGCCGUAAACGAUGAGUGCUAAGUGUUGGAGGGUUUCCGCCCUUCAGUGCUGCAGCUAACGCAUUAAGCACUCCGCCUGGGGAGUACGACCGCAAGGUUGAAACUCAAAGGAAUUGACGGGGGCCCGCACAAGCGGUGGAGCAUGUGGUUUAAUUCGAAGCAACGCGAAGAACCUUACCAGGUCUUGACAUCCUUUGACCACUCUAGAUGGCUAAACAAACUACUAUUACUUAUCGCGAUUUGACUAUCGAAAAAGAAAAGCUCGUGUCGUGAGAUGUUGGGUUAAGUCCCGCAACGAGCGCAACCCUUAUUGUUAGUUGCCAUCAUUCAGUUGGGCACUCUAGCAAGACUGCCGGUGACAAACCGGAGGAAGGUGGGGAUGACGUCAAAUCAUCAUGCCCCUUAUGACCUGGGCUACACACGUGCUACAAUGGGAAGUACAACGAGUUGCGAAGUCGCGAGGCUAAGCUAAUCUCUUAAAGCUUCUCUCAGUUCGGAUUGCAGGCUGCAACUCGCCUGCAUGAAGCCGGAAUCGCUAGUAAUCGCGGAUCAGCACGCCGCGGUGAAUACGUUCCCGGGCCUUGUACACACCGCCCGUCACACCACGAGAGGUUGUAACACCCGAAGUCGGUAUAAAUCAUCUAUCAAUCUGAUUGCCUAAGGUGGGAUAGAUGAUUGGGGUGAAGUCGUAACAAGGUAGCCGUAUCGGAAGGUGCGGCUGGAUCACCUCCUU
RNAcentral lists this ribosomal RNA (1554 nucleotides) under Enterococcus faecium. Its description in RNAcentral is "bacterial SSU rRNA". It matches the Rfam family "Bacterial small subunit ribosomal RNA". The record is from RNAcentral. Lineage: Bacteria; Bacillati; Bacillota; Bacilli; Lactobacillales; Enterococcaceae.